This 31-nucleotide non-coding RNA is filed under the name Mus musculus (house mouse). The record is from RNAcentral. Lineage: Eukaryota; Metazoa; Chordata; Mammalia; Rodentia; Muridae.
UGGCCAAAUCGUGCAUGCGCACCUUGUUUUC